Molecule: ribosomal RNA, 468 nt
Filed under: uncultured bacterium
Lineage: Bacteria
Description: partial 16S ribosomal RNA
Rfam family: Bacterial small subunit ribosomal RNA
Source: RNAcentral
GACGAACGCUGGCGGCGUGCUUAACACAUGCAAGUCGAACAGAAAGGCCCUGCUUUUGUGGGGUGCUCGAGUGGCGAACGGGUGAGUAACACGUGAGUAACCUGCCCUUGACUUUGGGAUAACUUCAGGAAACUGGGGCUAAUACCGGAUAGGAGCUCCUGCUGCAUGGUGGGGGUUGGAAAGUUUCGGCGGUUGGGGAUGGACUCGCGGCUUAUCAGCUUGUUGGUGGGGUAGUGGCUUACCAAGGCUUUGACGGGUAGCCGGCCUGAGAGGGUGACCGGCCACAUUGGGACUGAGAUACGGCCCAGACUCCUACGGGAGGCAGCAGUGGGGAAUAUUGCACAAUGGGCGGAAGCCUGAUGCAGCAAUGCCGCGUGCGGGAUGACGGCCUUCGGGUUGUAAACCGCUUUCGCCUGUGACGAAGCGUGAGUGACGGUAAUGGGUAAAGAAGCACCGGCUAACUACGUG